Molecule: long non-coding RNA, 188 nt
Organism: Microtus ochrogaster (prairie vole)
Lineage: Eukaryota; Metazoa; Chordata; Mammalia; Rodentia; Cricetidae
Exons: 3
Source: RefSeq, a predicted model, not a curated record
AGAUAAAGACUCAAGUGUCACCUUGCUCGUGUCCUCGUUAGUGUCACCCAAGACAGUGAACUCUGAUAGGGUAACAGUGGUCGAACCCCGUCAUCGGAGCUCGGACUGUUCUGGCCCACUGGUGACAACCCCGUGCUUCAGCUUAUCUAUAACAGCUGUCAAGGAAGGCUUCUUAUUCCUACUGGGAG